Molecule: ribosomal RNA, 460 nt
Filed under: uncultured Thermovirga sp.
Lineage: Bacteria; Thermotogati; Synergistota; Synergistia; Synergistales; Thermovirgaceae
Description: bacterial SSU rRNA
Rfam family: Bacterial small subunit ribosomal RNA
Source: RNAcentral
UGGAGCACGUGGUUUAAUUCGAUGCAAACCGAAGAACCUUACCUGGGUUUGACAUGUACGUGGUACGGAUCUGAAAGGUGAAGGACUUACUCUUCGGAGUGAGAGCGUACACAGGUGCUGCAUGGCUGUCGUCAGCUCGUGUCGUGAGAUGUUGGGCUAAGUCCCGCAACGAGCGCAACCCCUGCAUUCAGUUGCCAUCGGUAAGGCCGGGCACUCUGGAUGGACUGCCGGCGACAAGCCGGAGGAAGGUGGGGACGACGUCGAGUCAUCAUGGCCCUUAUGUCCAGGGCGACACACGUGCUACAAUGGCCGGCACAACGGGAAGCGAAGGGGCGACCCUGAGCGGAUCCCACAAAAGCCGGUCUCAGUUCGGAUUGCAGUCUGCAACUCGACUGCAUGAAGUUGGAAUCGCUAGUAAUCGUGGAUCAGCCAAGCCGCGGUGAAUACGUUCCCGGGCCUU